Molecule: long non-coding RNA, 487 nt
Organism: Octopus sinensis (East Asian common octopus)
Lineage: Eukaryota; Metazoa; Mollusca; Cephalopoda; Octopoda; Octopodidae
Exons: 3
Source: RefSeq, a predicted model, not a curated record
CAACAACAACAACAAUGACAACAGCAACAAUAAGAGAACCAGCAGCAGCAAUCCUGCGGAUCCUGAUUACUCCACUCCGAAGAAAAUUAUCAAUAUUCAUAAAUUUACCAGUUUGAGCCAACGAAAAACAUGGGAUAAAGAUAAAUUUUAUCCAUAAAAAUUAAGUAUUGCGCUUCCUGCACUUUGCUGCACUCUACCUGAACAUGGAGAUGCUUGAUAACACCACGAUGUCAAAGGUUGUCCGUUUUCUAGAUAAAUCGCUAACAGUUACUUUUGAAGUCUUCUUUGAACAGUCAAACGUCAGUUUACCUGGAUAGAAAUAAUGCAGUUAACAAGAGUACUCAGAGAGUGCAAACAGCUGCCAAAGCAACACCAACGUCCUCUCAACGAUUAGACAGAGAUGAUUUUUAAAAUGAGAAUAUCUGAAAUAAACUCGACUGCUCUCACAAACGGGAAUACUAAAUAUGAACCCGAUCGCUCUCAAAAA